RNAcentral lists this transfer RNA (99 nucleotides) under Nostoc linckia FACHB-104. RNAcentral describes it as "tRNA-Arg". It matches the Rfam family "tRNA". From Rfam's summary of the family: Transfer RNA (tRNA) molecules are approximately 80 nucleotides in length. Lineage: Bacteria; Bacillati; Cyanobacteriota; Cyanophyceae; Nostocales; Nostocaceae. The record is from RNAcentral.
GGGAGUGUCGCCUAAUGGAUAAGGCAACCGUCUUCUAAACGGUUUUAUGUAGGUACCUUGCCUUAAGCCGCUGCGCGUCUACAAAUCCUGUCACUCCUG